This is a non-coding RNA of Odocoileus virginianus texanus, 1024 nucleotides long. NCBI's taxonomy places the organism in Eukaryota, Metazoa, Chordata, Mammalia, Artiodactyla, Cervidae. The record is from the annotation of a RefSeq genome assembly.
GCCACAAGACAGAAUACUGCUGCUGUGCAGAAAGGGGCUCUCCGUUUCUGAGUGAGGAGCUUCUGGAACAUCCAGAUGGAGACUAGAUUCGUUAGACUGGUGUAUUCCAGGGAACAAGGACCGUUUUCUUUUGCGAACAUGCAUUCUGUCACUCACUCAGUUCUUCUGAUCAUCUUAAUAUUCAGAGGGACCAAUGGUGACUCCGUGAACCAGACAGAAGGCCCAGUGACUGUCUCAGAGGGGGCUCUCAUGACCCUGAACUGCACUUACCAGGCCACAUAUUCGGAUCCCUAUCUUUUCUGGUAUGUCCAGCAUCUUAACAAAGCUCCUCAACUCCUCCUGAAGGGCUUCACAGCAGACAAGACGGUAGAGCAUGAAGGUUUUCAGGCCACUCUUGUUAAGAGGGACAGCUCCUUCCACCUGCAGAAACAGGCAGUGCAAGCAUCAGACUCGGCUGUGUACUACUGUGCUCUGAGUGACACAGUGAUGGAGGGCGGCAGGGGGAGCUGAGCGCAAACCCAAGGGGAGCAGGAGGCUGACGUCAGGAAGAGGCAUAUUCUCUCCUUGAUCAGAGUUUAGUGUACAUUAAAGUUUUUCAGGAAAACCGAUCAAACUCAGGUCUAAUCCUAGAAACUCAGAGGGUUGGGAAUUGCUCUACAGGGAAAAUAGGGUGGAUGUCAGUCUUAAAGAAGACCCAAGCUCCAAUCCCCAGAAGCACCCCUGUUCAUCCAGAAAGAUUCCUCUCUACUCUAGGCUGACUUUCCAAAAAAAAAAAUCUAUUUUUCUUAUAAUGUAAAAUGGAUAUUAUACGUCACAAAUUAGUAGUUCAUUUAGAGAAAAGAAAUAAAUGAUUAAAAGCUGCAUCACCUGAAUCAUAAUCAUAAACCAACACAGAGGUACCAGGCAAAUCACAUAGCAGUCUGUGUGUGGCUGAGACCUAACGUUAUUGAGGUGUUGUUUGCAGUGAAAGCCUUUGAACGGAGCUGCUGCAGCCGUGGGAUGAAAAAGCGUUUGUGACUUUUGA